AAUCUGCCCUUGGGUUCGGAAUAACAGUGAGAAAUUACUGCUAAUACCGGAUGAUGACUUCGGUCCAAAGAUUUAUCGCCCAAGGAUGAGCCCGCGUAAGAUUAGCUAGUUGGUGAGGUAAAGGCUCCAAGGCGACGAUCUUUAGCUGGUCUGAGAGGAUGAUCAGCCACACUGGGACUGAGACACGGCCCAGACUCCUACNGGAGGCAGCAGUGGGGAAUAUUGGACAAUGGGCGAAAGCCUGAUCCAGCAAUGCCGCGUGAGUGAUGAANGCCUUAGGGUUGUAAAGCUCUUUUACCAGGGAUGAUAAUGAC
RNAcentral lists this ribosomal RNA (314 nucleotides) under Blastomonas sp. '14.2 MW-33'. RNAcentral's name for it is "bacterial SSU rRNA". It matches the Rfam family "Bacterial small subunit ribosomal RNA", at positions 123 to 455 of the family's 1533-position model. Lineage: Bacteria; Pseudomonadati; Pseudomonadota; Alphaproteobacteria; Sphingomonadales; Blastomonadaceae. The record is from RNAcentral.